GGCGCGGUGGCCGAGUGGCUAGGCAGAGGACUGCAAAUCCUUGUACGCCGGUUCGAUUCCGGCCCGUGCCUCCA
Molecule: transfer RNA, 74 nt
Filed under: Micavibrio aeruginosavorus
Lineage: Bacteria; Pseudomonadati; Bdellovibrionota; Bdellovibrionia; Bdellovibrionales; Pseudobdellovibrionaceae
Also listed under: 1 other name
Description: tRNA-Cys
Rfam family: tRNA
About the family: Transfer RNA (tRNA) molecules are approximately 80 nucleotides in length.
Source: RNAcentral